AUUAAGGACGACAUGUUGUCCUUAUAACGGGGAUCCAGAAGGGUGGCCACCCAGUAAUCAGCACAAGUAAGAAUGUGGGUAACUCGGCAGUCGUUGCGCAGGCACUUUGGUGACUCUAGAUAAAAUCGGGCCGAUCACACGUCCCGUGACAGCGACGACGCAUUUGAAUGUCUGCGGUGACCACGGGUAACGGGGAAUCAGGGUUCGAUUCCGGAGAGGAAGCCUGAGAAACGGCUACCACAUCCAAGGAAAGAAUCAGGCGCGCAAAUGACCCCCUCCCGACGCGGGGAGGUAGUGAUGAU
This is a non-coding RNA of Pelobates cultripes (western spadefoot toad), 302 nucleotides long. The record is from the annotation of a GenBank genome assembly. Lineage: Eukaryota; Metazoa; Chordata; Amphibia; Anura; Pelobatidae.